RNAcentral lists this long non-coding RNA (2015 nucleotides) under Sorghum bicolor (sorghum). RNAcentral describes it as "long non-coding RNA (SBIC_LNC013557)". Lineage: Eukaryota; Viridiplantae; Streptophyta; Magnoliopsida; Poales; Poaceae. The record is from RNAcentral.
GGAAACUCUUUCAGUGGUAAGCGACGUUACCAUUCGUUAAUCUCGAGGAAUUGUUGGUCUAGUAUUUAAAGAUGCUCAUUGGGGUAGGGUUUUAUGUGCGUGCAUUCAUAUGGGGGUGAGUGUGCAUGCGUGGUGAGUGUCUACGUUGUACUAUGUAAUCACAAAACUGAGAAGAUAUCUGAACUUGUAAUUAUGACAACUUCUCCAAGGAAGAGAACACCACAAGUGCCAACGUCGUAUGUUCAACACUGACUAAGUUUUCACCUAUAAGAACACAAGACACAUGGGGCAAUGACAAAUGCUUCUGAGGAGGAAGACGAUGUCGAAGGUGUCACCGCCGUUGGCCCGGCUUCACAUCAAUGGACAACAGCUUUUACCUAGAUAUAUAGCCUCCAAAGUCGGUGAAUCAUACCCCAUAUACCGCAUCGUCGCCGAAUGUCAUGAACCCAAAGCACCUACUGUGUGCUUGUACCAUAGCAUAUACUACCAUCAUGCUAGAAAAACGAGAGAUAGUAAAAAUUAGUGAAACUUUAAAUCCGUAGAAGUAUAAAGGUAGAAAUAUCCAAAUAAAUACACAAUAAAUAAUCCAGCUGUGGAAAUGAAACUCUGUUUUUUUUUCAACUAAAGAGUCAGUCUGCCAUACCAUGCAUGAAAUUAUUUCAAGAAUAUAGUCAAGGUAUAACUUAAAAAACAUGGUAUAAUCUUCCCAAAAAAUGUAAGCAAAUAUAAUAGAGCGCUGACUUCGGAUAAAGUGGAGACAUGUUCAGGUUAUCAUGCAGGGAAAAAGAAAGAAAAACUAGUGAUCAUUCAGUACCCACCUACCUCAUUCCGGUUGAAUAUUGUUCUUAUAAGAGCAUUUUCAAGAGACUACGUAAAAUAAAUCUCUAAAAACAAGAUUUAGAGGCUCUCUAAAUAAAAAUAGUUCUCCAAAUACUAGAGCACCACAACAAAAUUUUGUCUCCUGCUAUCCAUCCCGCCUCGCAUGCGGCUGGUUGCGCUUCGGAGCGCUGCAUGUCAUGACGUGCCCCAGCUACCGCGAUUCAUGCGAACUUGGCGAGCCAGCCUCACUGGCUUUGUAUGACGAGCGAAAAACAUGGAAUAACUCGCGGCUAAAUUUAGAUAAUGAGAGAUGAAGAGCCUGUUGGAGAUGAUUUUUUUUGCUAAUAAUAGCCAUAUUUAUAUUUAUAAAAUGAUUCACAUAGUCUCUUGGAGAUACUCUAAGUCACCACAGGUGACUCGUUACUGCAAACUGUGAAUGUAAAAAAAAAAAAAGAUAACUUGUUUAUUUCCUCCAAAAAUUAUCUUACUCCCUCUGUCUCUAAAUAUCUAUCUUUCUCGCUUCUCGAGAAAUAACUUUAAUUAAUUUUAUAUAAAAAAUAUUAAUAUUUAUAAUGCACAACUAAUAUCAUUAGAUAGAUCUUUGAAUCUAGUUUUUAAAUAAAUUUAUUUGGAUAUACACAUGUUCCAUGUAUUUUCUAAAAAUCUAAUUAAAGUUGUGACACAAAAACCCAAAACGACUUUUCGCAAAAAAAAAACCCAAAACGACAAAUGAAAAGGGACGGAGAGAGUAUGUGCUAUAAUAAUAUAUAGCGGAAUUAUUAGGUGGAUGUUGAUGUAAAGUACAAGUUUUUAUACAAGGAGGGUAGCAUACAACAUAAGAUUUGAACUUGUUAGUCUUUGACUAAUAAGCCAUCAUAAUCGCCUAGCCAUCAAUGAGCACUUGUCAACUGUACUUAUACUAUAUCCGUGUUAUUCUAUCAACCUUAGGGCGUCUGCUUAGAUCCAUGAAGCCAAUAGUUAGCUGCUAACAAUUAGCUGAGUAAAACCAAACGAGCCUAGCUAAUUGAUAGGGCAUUUUCACCAGGUCUCAUAUCUAGUCUCCUAUAUCUUUAAACUAGCAAUCUCAUCACUAUACCUAUAGCAUUUUAGAGAUAUCUUGAAACCAGCUUUAUCUCCCCUAACGAAAGGAGAGAACCCCUCUCUAGCUUCCUUGUCUCUAAAGAAAUAUAGGAGAC